Long non-coding RNA from Anguilla anguilla (European eel), 2248 nucleotides. RefSeq lists it as uncharacterized. Lineage: Eukaryota; Metazoa; Chordata; Actinopteri; Anguilliformes; Anguillidae. The record is from RefSeq and is a predicted model, not a curated record. The transcript has 2 exons.
AAGCGCUAUGGAUAAAAGCACAUGCAUUCCGUGUGUGUGUAAAUGAAUUAUAGGCUUAUACAUGAUAUUUCUUGCUCCGAAGUAGCUUUGCUGUACAGUUGGAGAGAUAUUGCUUUUAAAAACAAAUAGUAUCAUAUAUAAUAUAGGGGUUUGGAAAUGCUGGUAACAAAAAACUAUGCCAUGCAGGAAAAAUAAUAAUAAUAAUCAAAUCCCCUGAUUUGGUAUUGUUAUCCCUGUAGGCUUCGAAUCAUUCUGUGGGUAAUUUCCCUGCGUCUAAAUUAGUUUGGGUAAAAAUGAAGCAAGCUGAAAAUUCCAUAUAAUGAAAACAGAUGUAACUCUUGGGUCUUUGGACCUUUCGAUAUUCUUUGGUGUUGUCAUUAAUCCAGCAUUGCAGAAUGGCAUAAUAGGACUCUCCUGUUUCAGGAUUAUCAGUCUUUCCUGUCAUGACAUCUCCUCUAUUAUGAUGAAUCAAAUAAAAAACCUGGACAACUGAAGAUUGUUCUGGGAAGAGUCAACAGUAGCUGUAUGCUCUUACAUAUUUGUGCAGUUUAAAUACGUUAUUAUAAAGGUUUAUGUUUCCAAGCAGUUUAUUUGCUUUAUUUGUUCUUAUGGACACGAACCCAUCUUCCGUAAUUCAGUGGUCCACAUAUAAAACACUGAAAAAAAGGUGAAGCUAAAGCAUCAGGUAACCGCUACAAGCAUCCAGGAAAUUAUUACCAGGAUUAUGCACAUGAUUUUUGGAAGUGAUGUAUUCACUGUCAACCAAGGACGGAUCAACCAUUUACAAGUGUGCCACUGCCUCUCAGCUCAUUUUAUGAAGAGACAAUAUUAUGACCGUGCACAUGACUCUUGUCCUGAGGUUUGUGGAUAACAUCGAGUUUGUCUUCUGCCCGGCAGAGUCAGACAGCUGCGUGGUUCUGGUGAGUCAUAUCCAGUCUCUGGGGUCACAAGUCCCGACCUCUCACAGCCAUAGCGACUGCUGCACUGCCCGCCAGCAACACAGCCCUUUUGCCAGUUUUUCAUUUCCCAGUUCGGCACUGCAGUUGUAUUCUUAAGUAAGAUGCUUAAUCUGACCUGCUUCAAUAAAUAUCCAGCUUUAUUAACAGAAUUUAUUCAUAUUGUCUUGAAUAGGGGUGCCUACUAGGUAAAAUAUAUCGCAUAUUACAGUAAUGUAAUAAUGUAUCUUGUAACGUAGAAGCAUUUAGGUAGUCUGGCAUAAUUUGAGGUGGGAGGAGUAGUGGUAUUGACUGGUUGUCCCACCCCAUUGCUAUCCAUUUCCUGUUUUCAUCCAGAAUUAAUAAAAUGAGGUUACGACAGACUGCGAUGUAUCCAUGGCUAUCACACCAAAAGGAAAUCCAGCAUAUAAUCCGAUGGUACAGCUUUGUUCUGAGUUAUGCUCCAUUGUGUAGAUGUGUAACAGUGUGUCUUAUCCUUAUUUAAUUAAACCUGUUUUCUCCUCCCUCCACCAUCUAGGGUCAUUCAGUGUCACGCAGCUGGUGAUCCUAGAUUCAGCAACUAACGUUCGCAAUAUGUACAAUCUAUUGAAAGCCUCUCACACAGGGGUGGCAGACUGACCUCCCGUGGGGCCUCCCGCCUCUCUCCUCAGCUGAUCCCCUCAGCCUCUCCUCUUUGCUGCUUAAUGGGCCUAAUUAUGCACUGGGGCGCGAAGGUGACCGUGUGAAAAUUUAAGCAAGAUUUUUAUACUCGCCCCAUGUCACCGCACUGAAUAAGCAUUCCUCUGGCUUGCCAGUGAUACUCUGGUGCAUGAUGUUAGCUCUCCUAGGCAGCAGUGUUAAAGAGGCUGUCUGUCUCUGCUGAGGGCAUUAUCGUGGUACGCAAAGUUGUUCUGUUGAGCCUCUCUGAAUAGAUCAUGUAUGGGGAGUCCAGUAAUCUUCCUCAUCACUGUGACACAUUGGGCAUGUGAGAGUGAGUUUGAGUAAUGCUGCGCUUUGCAGGUAGUGGACUGAGCUCCACCCUGGGAUUCAGUGAAUUGUCCAGUGACAGGAACUGCACACAGUACUCCACUGCAGAGCAGUUUCUGGGCCUGUAAGCCCUUUUUCUAUCACAUUGAUGCAUCAGAGGCACUUUGAGAGGCUUGGAAGUACCUGCAUUUCAUUUGCAGACUGUAGCUUUGAUAAUACCAGCCAUUGGAAUUUUUUAGUCCCAUGUCAUAGUAUUGUUGUGCGCUACAUCUUAGUAAGUCUGUGAAGGUUGUAAACACCAAUAAAUUGCUUGUCUUGCUUAAAUG